This 208-nucleotide ribosomal RNA is filed under the name uncultured bacterium. Its description in RNAcentral is "partial 16S ribosomal RNA". It matches the Rfam family "Bacterial small subunit ribosomal RNA", at positions 340 to 539 of the family's 1533-position model. The record is from RNAcentral.
UACGGGAGGCAGCAGUGGGGGAAUUUUGGACAAUGGACGCAAGUCUGAUCCAGCCAUGCCGCGUGUGUGAAGAAGGUCUUCGGAUUGUAAAGCACUUUAAGUUGGGAGGAAGGGCAUUAACCUAAUACGUUAGUGUUUUGACGUUACCGACAGAAUAAGCACCGGCUAACUCUGUGCCAGCAGCCGCGGUAAUACGGAGGGUGCAAGC